GACGAACGCUGGCGGCGUGCUUAACACAUGCAAGUCGAACGCUGAAGCCCUUUUUGGGUGGAUGAGUGGCGAACGGGUGAGUAACACGUGAGUAACCUGCCCUUCACUUUGGGAUAACCUUCGGAAACGGGGGCUAAUACUGGAUAUGACUCAUGGCCGCAUGGUUGUGGGUGGAAAGAUUCUUUUGGUGGGGAUGGGCUCGCGGCCUAUCAGCUUGUUGGUGGGGUGAUGGCCUACCAAGGCGACGACGGGUAGCCGGCCUGAGAGGGCGACCGGCCACACUGGGACUGAGACACGGCCCAGACUCCUACGGGAGGCAGCAGUGGGGAAUAUUGCACAAUGGGCGCAAGCCUGAUGCAGCGACGCCGCGU
This 371-nucleotide ribosomal RNA is filed under the name uncultured bacterium. Its description in RNAcentral is "bacterial SSU rRNA". It matches the Rfam family "Bacterial small subunit ribosomal RNA", at positions 28 to 402 of the family's 1533-position model. The record is from RNAcentral.